This 518-nucleotide ribosomal RNA is filed under the name uncultured bacterium. Its description in RNAcentral is "bacterial SSU rRNA". It matches the Rfam family "Bacterial small subunit ribosomal RNA", at positions 15 to 518 of the family's 1533-position model. The record is from RNAcentral.
GAUUCUGGCUCAGAUUGAACGCUGGCGGCGUGCUUAACACAUGCAAGUCGCGCGUGAAAGGACUUCGGUCCGAGUAAAGCGGCGCACGGGUGAGUAACGCGUGGAUGAUCUACCCAUGAGUUAGGAAUAACGGCUGGAAACGGUCGCUAAUACCAAAUACGCUCCGAUUUCAACUUCGGGGGAAAGGUGGCCUCUGCUUGCAAGCUACUGCUCAUGGAUGAGUCCGCGUCCCAUUAGCUAGUUGGUGGGGUAACGGCCCACCAAGGCGACGAUGGGUAGCCGGUCUGAGAGGAUGACCGGCCACACUGGGACUGGAACACGGCCCAGACUCCUACGGGAGGCAGCAGUGGGGAAUAUUGCGCAAUGGGCGAAAGCCUGACGCAGCGACGCCGCGUGAGGGAUGAAGGUCCUCGGAUCGUAAACCUCUGUCAGGAGGGAAGAACCGCCACGGUGCUAAUCAGCCGUGGUCUGACGGUACCUCCAAAGGAAGCACCGGCUAACUCCGUGCCAGCAGCCGC